CGUUCCCCCGCCGGCCGCGCCAAACUCUAAAUUUGCAAAGCGGACUGCAUGUUCUGAUUUAAAAGAAAAAACAAGUCAAAACUUUCAACAACGGAUCUCUUGGUUCUGGCAUCGAUGAAGAACGCAGCGAAAUGCGAUAAGUAAUGUGAAUUGCAGAAUUCAGUGAAUCAUCGAAUCUUUGAACGCACAUUGCGCCCGGCAGCAAUCUGCCGGGCAUGCCUGUCCGAGCGUCAUUUCUCCCCUCGAGCGCGGCUAGCCCUACGGGGCCUGCCGCCGCCCGGUGUUGGGGCUCUACGGGUGGGGCUCGUCCCCCCCCGCAGUCCCCGAAAUGUAGUGGCGGUCCAGCCGCGGCGCCCCCUGCGUAGUAGAUCCUACAUCUCGCAUCGGGUCCCGGCGAAGGCCAGCCGUCGAACCUUUUUUACUCAUGGUUUGACCUCGGAUCAGGUAGGGUUACCCGCUGAACUUAAGCAUAUCAAUAA
Molecule: small RNA, 479 nt
Filed under: Scopulariopsis flava
Lineage: Eukaryota; Fungi; Ascomycota; Sordariomycetes; Microascales; Microascaceae
Description: eukaryotic LSU rRNA
Rfam family: 5.8S ribosomal RNA (bases 80-233)
Source: RNAcentral